Molecule: ribosomal RNA, 1236 nt
Filed under: metagenome
Description: bacterial LSU rRNA
Rfam family: Bacterial large subunit ribosomal RNA
Source: RNAcentral
UGAAUACGAGACGCUAAGGCGUCGAAGUAGUGUAUGUCAUACUUCCAAGAAAAGCUUGCACUGUCAUAGAUAAAAAACGCCUGUACCAUAACCGACACAGGUGGGUAGGUAGAGUAUACUAAGGGGCGCGAGAUAACUCUCUCUAAGGAACUCGGCAAAAUAACUCCGUAACUUCGGGAGAAGGAGUGCCUUAUUCUUAAGGUUGCAAUAACAAGAUCCAAGCAACUGUUUAUCAAAAACACAGGUCUCCGCUAAGUCGUAAGACGAUGUAUGGGGGCUGACGCCUGCCCAGUGCCAGAAGGUUAAAGAAGCUGGUUAGCAUUUGCGAAGCUAGUAACUGAAGCCCUGGUGAACGGCGGCCGUAACAAUAACGGUCCUAAGGUAGCGAAAUUCCUUGUCGGGUAAGUUCCGACCCGCACGAAAGGCGUAAUGAUUUGGAUACUGUCUCGGAGAGGGGCUCGGUGAAAUAGACUUGUCUGUGAAGAUGCGGACUACCUGCACCAGGACAGAAAGACCCUAUGAAGCUUUACUGUAACUUGAAAUUGAAAUUGGACUUUAUUCGCGCAGUAUAGGUGGGAGGCGUUGAUUAUAAUCUUGCGGGAUUAUUGGAGCCAUUAGUGAGAUACCACUCUUGUAAUGUUAGAUUUCUAACUUUGAAUCAUUAUCUGGUCAAAGAACAGUUUCAGGCGGGCAGUUUGACUGGGGCGGUCGCCUCCUAAACGGUAACGGAGGCGUACAAAGGUUUCCUCUGAACGGUUAGAAAUCGUAUCUAGAGUGUAAAGGCAUAAGGAAGCUUGACUGUGAGACCUACAAGUCGAGCAGGGACGAAAGUCGGUCUUAGUGAUCUGACGGUACUGAGUGGAAAGGCCGUCACUCAACGGAUAAAAGUUACUCUAGGAUAACAGGCUGAUCUCCCCCAAGAGUUCACAUCGACGGGGAGGUUUGGCACCUCGAUGUCGUCUCAUCGCAUCCUGGGGCGGUAGUACGUCCCAAGGGUUGGGCUGUUCGCCCAUGAAAGCGGUACGCGAGCUGGGUUCAGAACGUCGUGAGACAGUUCGGUCCAUAUCCGGUGUAGGCGUUAGAAUAUUGAGAGGAGCCUUCUUUAGUACGAGAGGACCGAGAAGGACAUACCUCUGGUGUACCAGUUAUCGUGCCAACGGUAAACGCUGGGUAGCUAUGUAUGGAGUGGAUAACCGCUGAGAGCAUCUAAGUGGGAAGCCCACCUCAAGAUAAGUA